This 69-nucleotide small RNA is filed under the name Bifidobacterium callitrichos. RNAcentral describes it as "Bifidobacterium sp. AFB22-5 Transposase-2 RNA". It matches the Rfam family "Transposase-2 RNA". Lineage: Bacteria; Bacillati; Actinomycetota; Actinomycetes; Bifidobacteriales; Bifidobacteriaceae. The record is from Rfam by way of RNAcentral.
GAAGUGCGAACCAAGCAGUCACCACGGUGGCAUGAGCCUUGGAGCGGACGGCCGCAAGACCGUCCUGCA